AAAAAUCCCAGCUUUACUUGGUAAAUUUCAGUUGUUAAGUAUCUUGUAGUAUUAAAAGAUUUAAUACUAUUGCUUUUCCUUAGAAUAUAUUAAAGCAAUAGUAUUGUUUCUGCUUACAAUAUUGUAAAUAUUGGUUUCAGUUAGCAUAAACAUCUAAUUUUUUGCUCUUAGACCACUAAGAGAGAUACAAGUGGUGGAUUUCAGAGAACUUCCUGAACCAUUGAAAAGCAGGAGAAAGUACGCUUCUGUAAUCCUGUCACAUCUGUUCUAAAGGAUUCCAGGGACUCUGACCUGCGACUCAAAAAACUGACAUCACAAGGCACCAAACUUCCCCGAAAGCUGAGGAAAAAUAAGCACCUUCAAGAAGAGAAAAGACAAAAGCACUGACCUUGUGGCAAAGCACAGGAGGAAGGGAAAGCUACUAUGCAAGUAAGCAAGAAGGAUCCAGGAAGAGAGAGAGGAAUGUAAGAGAAGACAGUCACUAUGUUGAAGAGAAGUUUAGAGGACUGCCCAGAGUAAAGAAAUCCCCUUCCAAGUGUUUCUCCUGCAGCCUUGGCAAAAAUAUACACAUCAGGGAUACAGGGAUCGAACUCGGGACCUUGUGCCUGCAAGGCAGGCGGUGGAACCACUGAGCUAAAUCCCCAGCCCUCAUAAGUGGGCUUUUAAGAAGUGAUUGGAUAAUGGUGGCAUGAUACUCGUCAGUGGAUUAGUCUACUGACAAAAUUUCUUGAAAAGCCUGAAGUCAGG
RNAcentral lists this long non-coding RNA (747 nucleotides) under Heterocephalus glaber (naked mole-rat). RNAcentral's name for it is "lncRNA (ENSHGLG00100043166.1)". Lineage: Eukaryota; Metazoa; Chordata; Mammalia; Rodentia; Bathyergidae. The record is from RNAcentral.